GCCGGCGUGGCGGAAUUGGCAGACGCGCGGGACUCAAAAUCCCGUGCCUUCACGGGCGUGUGGGUUCGACCCCCACCGCCGGCA
RNAcentral lists this transfer RNA (84 nucleotides) under Aerococcus christensenii. It matches the Rfam family "tRNA". From Rfam's summary of the family: Transfer RNA (tRNA) molecules are approximately 80 nucleotides in length. Lineage: Bacteria; Bacillati; Bacillota; Bacilli; Lactobacillales; Aerococcaceae. The record is from Rfam by way of RNAcentral.